This 873-nucleotide long non-coding RNA is filed under the name Nicotiana tabacum (common tobacco). Its description in RNAcentral is "long non-coding RNA (NTAB_LNC018847)". The record is from RNAcentral. Lineage: Eukaryota; Viridiplantae; Streptophyta; Magnoliopsida; Solanales; Solanaceae.
CCCCGCCUAACCGUCUAUCGACUUAAGGCCAAGCUUUGAGGAUAUCUGGCCAAAUUCUUCAUUUUCUACCCGAUGCACACAGGGGCGGAUCUACCUUAUGAGGUAAGGGUACCACGGCACCCGCUCGCUUCGCUAAAAUUUUUACUAUGUACAUAAUAUCUCUGUGAAGAAACAUAUAUAUGAAUAGAGUGGCACCCAAAAGUCACGAAGUGAAAGCGGGUGCCAUUGGUUCAGCCUUCCCUUUGGAGGCUUUCUUUGGCCUCAUGAAUGCAAGUUCGAUAAGAUUUCCUUUAUUUUCAGUUGAGCCUAAGGCCUCACCUCUUCUUCUUCUUUUUCGGCUCUUUCCCUCCUUUUCUUCCUUUUAUUACAUGCUAAGUCUCUCUUCUUCAUUUGUUUAGAGCACGAAAGAACAAUGGUGCGAGGCAGCAAAAUUCUAGCGCCCAGAACGCCGCAAGGCAAUGAAAUUUCACCACCCGGAACACCACGAGGCUGAGCCAGGCGCGCCAAUGCAUCCGGGCUCCAUAGCGUGAGGCGAUACAUUUUGAGGGCCGCACAUGGCGCGACGCAGUGGCGUGUCCAUCCGAAGUUGUUUCGUUUUCUUCUCAGUUUUGGACUUGGUUACUUCACCCUAGACUUUACCCUACCUUAUAAAUACCACUAAACUUGUUUUUGAGGGGUUGAACAUAUUUUGGUGGCAACAAGGGCUGCGACGCACUGUGAGGCACAAAAUCGUAGCAUUUUUCUUCCCUUUAACUAGUAUUUAUAGUUUUAUGCUUUCAAACACUAUUGUGAUUGAUCAUAUAACUAUGAGUGGCUAAACUCCCGUGUGCUGGAGUUAUGGGGAGUUCUUGAUUGUUGACAUUGAACGGUUGC